Molecule: ribosomal RNA, 300 nt
Filed under: uncultured Kiloniellaceae bacterium
Lineage: Bacteria; Pseudomonadati; Pseudomonadota; Alphaproteobacteria; Rhodospirillales; Kiloniellaceae
Description: bacterial SSU rRNA
Rfam family: Bacterial small subunit ribosomal RNA
Source: RNAcentral
CACGUGGGGACCUGCCUGAUAGUAAGGAAAAACAGUUGGAAACGACUGCUAAUACCUUAUACUCCCUUCGGGGGAAAGAUUUAUCGCUAUCAGAUGGACCCGCGCUAGAUUAGAUAGUUGGUGAGGUAAUGGCUCACCAAGUCUGCGAUCUAUAGCUGGUUUGAGAAGAUGAUCAGCCACAUUGGGACUGAGACACGGCCCAGACUCCUACGGGAGGCAGCAGUGGGAAUAUUGUACAAUGGACGCAAGUCUGAUACAGCAAUGCCGCGUGAGUGAAGAAGGCCUUAGGGUUGUAAAACU